AUUGAACGCUGGCGGCAUGCCUUACACAUGCAAGUCGAACGGCAGCACGGGAGCAAUCCUGGUGGCGAGUGGCGAACGGGUGAGUAAUAUAUCGGAACGUGCCCAGUCGUGGGGGAUAACGUAGCGAAAGCUACGCUAAUACCGCAUACGAUCUACGGAUGAAAGCGGGGGAUCGCAAGACCUCGCGCGAUUGGAGCGGCCGAUAUCAGAUUAGCUAGUUGGUGGGGUAAAAGCUCACCAAGGCGACGAUCUGUAGCUGGUCUGAGAGGACGACCAGCCACACUGGAACUGAGACACGGUCCAGACUCCUACGGGAGGCAGCAGUGGGGAAUUUUGGACAAUGGGCGCAAGCCUGAUCCAGCAAUGCCGCGUGCAGGAUGAAGGCCUUCGGUUGUAAACUGCUUUGUUACGGAACGAAACGGUGAGCUCUAAUAAAGACUUGCUAAUGACGGUACCGUAAGAAUAAGCACCGGCUAACUACGUG
This 484-nucleotide ribosomal RNA is filed under the name uncultured bacterium. Its description in RNAcentral is "bacterial SSU rRNA". It matches the Rfam family "Bacterial small subunit ribosomal RNA", at positions 30 to 507 of the family's 1533-position model. The record is from RNAcentral.